GAAAUGCGAUACGUAAUGUGAAUUGCAGAAUUCAGUGAAUCAUCGAGUCUUUGAACGCACAUUGCGCCCCCUGGUAUUCCGGGGGGCAUGCCUGUCCGAGCGUCAUUGCUGCCCUCAAGCCCGUCUUGUGUGUUGGGCCCCCGUCCCCCCUCCAAAGGGGACGGGCCCGAAAGGCAGCGGCGGCACCGUGUCCGGUCCACGAGCGUAUGGGAAGCAACUUUUUGUCACCCGCUCCUGUAGGUCCGGCCGGCGGCCUGCCCAACCCCAAACAAUCUUUUAACCAGGUUGACCUCGGAUCAGGUAGGGAUACCCGCUGAACUUAA
RNAcentral lists this unclassified non-coding RNA (323 nucleotides) under uncultured Aspergillus. RNAcentral describes it as "sequence contains ITS1". The stretch from base 1 to 105 matches the Rfam family "5.8S ribosomal RNA", at positions 50 to 154 of the family's 154-position model. The record is from RNAcentral. Lineage: Eukaryota; Fungi; Ascomycota; Eurotiomycetes; Eurotiales; Aspergillaceae.